This 484-nucleotide ribosomal RNA is filed under the name uncultured bacterium. RNAcentral's name for it is "partial 16S ribosomal RNA". It matches the Rfam family "Bacterial small subunit ribosomal RNA", at positions 30 to 507 of the family's 1533-position model. The record is from RNAcentral.
AUUGAACGCUGGCGGCAGGCCUAACACAUGCAAGUCGAGCGGAAGAAGGGAGCUUGCUCCUGGAUUCAGCGGCGGACGGGUGAGUAAUGCCUAGGAAUCUGCCUGGUAUUGGGGGAUAAUGUCCGGAAACGGGCGCUGAUAACGCAUACUUCGUGAGGGUGCUAGAUGGGGGUGUUCGGACCUCUCGCGAUCAGAUGAGCCUAGUCGGGGGUAGUUAGUUGGUGGGGUAAGGGCCUACCAAGGCGACGAUCCGUGAAUGGUCUGAGUGGGUGAUAAGUCACACUGGAGCUGAGACACGGUCCAGGCUACUACGGGAGGCAGCAGUGGGCAAUAGUGGACAAUGGGCGAAAACCUGACACAGUCAUGCCGAGUGUGUGAAGAAGGUCUUCGGAUUGUAAAGAACUUUAAGGUGGGAGGAAGGGCAGUAAGUUAAUACCUUGCUGUUUUGACGUUACCAACAGAAUAAGCACCGGCUAACUUCGUG